UAGGGAAUCUUCCACAAUGGACGCAAGUCUGAUGGAGCAACGCCGCGUGAGUGAAGAAGGUCUUCGGAUCGUAAAGCUCUGUUGUUGGUGAAGAAGGAUAGAGGCAGUAACUGGUCUUUAUUUGACGGUAAUCAACCAGAAAGUCACGGCUAACUACGUGCCAGCAGCCGCGGUAAUACGUAGGUGGCAAGCGUUGUCCGGAUUUAUUGGGCGUAAGGCGAGCGCAGGCGGAAUGAUAAGUCUGAUGUGAAAGCCCACGGCUCAACCGUGGAACUGCAUCGGAAACUGUCAUUCUUGAGUGCAGAAGAGGAGAGUGGAACUCCAUGUGUAGCGGUGGAAUGCGUAGAUAUAUGGAAGAACACCAGUGGCGAAGGCGGCUCUCUGGUCUGCAACUGACGCUGAGGCUCGAAAGCAUGGGUAGCGAACAGGAUUAGAUACCCUGGUAGUCCAUGCCGUAAACGAUGAGCGCUAGGUGUUGGGGACUUUCCGGU
This 491-nucleotide ribosomal RNA is filed under the name uncultured bacterium. RNAcentral's name for it is "partial 16S ribosomal RNA". It matches the Rfam family "Bacterial small subunit ribosomal RNA", at positions 355 to 837 of the family's 1533-position model. The record is from RNAcentral.